This 21-nucleotide microRNA is filed under the name Corchorus olitorius. Its description in RNAcentral is "aly-miR859-". The record is from RNAcentral. Lineage: Eukaryota; Viridiplantae; Streptophyta; Magnoliopsida; Malvales; Malvaceae.
UGAUUUUACAAUAGAUUGAAA